Long non-coding RNA from Trichomycterus rosablanca, 1126 nucleotides. RefSeq lists it as uncharacterized. The record is from RefSeq and is a predicted model, not a curated record. The transcript is spliced from 3 exons. NCBI's taxonomy places the organism in Eukaryota, Metazoa, Chordata, Actinopteri, Siluriformes, Trichomycteridae.
UUCUGUACUGCAGCCUUUAAGGAUGAAUUUCCUCUCAGCAUGAGGUGACAGUUCAAGUUUUCUUUCUGAUCUUGGUAAGAGACCACUGUUCCAUGUGCCUGGAGAUGUGAGGUCAAACUAGCCCUGUUUAUAUGGGCACUGAGACAUCACCGGCUGUAAUCAGUCCUGCUCAGAUCUGUGAAAAUUAGUCAAAGAGAAAAAGAACAAAUGAAAUGACUGAAAUCACAGGUCACAUUGAGCCCCAGGACCCAGGGCCUAUGCCUAUUGUAAUAAAAAUACAAUGCUGUGCAGAAAUAUAAUCUAACAAGGAGCCUGGAUGGUGCAGUGGUAAAUAACGCCAGCCCAAUACUGCUGAGAUACAGCGUUCAAAUCCCCAGCUGUGCUAUCAGCCUGUCUGGCUUCUACAUACAGACAUGACUGGCUAUGUCUGAACAGAACGGAAAAGAACAGAGUUAAACAGAACAGAGCUGAAAAGAACAGCUGAACAGAAUGAAAAAAAAAAAGAAAAAAAAAAAAAGAACUGAUGAUAAGCACAGCACAAAUCUGAACAGAAUAUAGCUGACCUGAACAGAACAGAAAAAAUAACUGAACACCACUGAUAAGAACAGAACCGAGCUGACCUAAACGGAACAGAACAGAACAGAACAGAGUUAAACACAACAGAACUGAUGAGAAGAACAGAACAGUGCUGAGAAAACAGAGGUGAACAGAACAGAGUUAAACAAAACAGAAAAAAGAACGGAGUUGAACAGAACAUUACAGAACUGACCUGGACAGAACAGAACCGAGCUGACCUAAACAGAACAGAGCUGAGCAGAACUACACAGAACUGAACAGAACUGGCCUGGACAGAACAGAACAGAGUUAAACAGAACAGAACUGAUUAGAAGAACAGAACAGUGCUGAGAAAACAGAGCUGAACAGAACUGAUAAGUUCUGGGUGGACUGGUGUCGGCCAGUUACGGAGAUGAAGACGUCAGAGCCGAGGAGAGAAACCAGAAAGAUUCGGGGAACGAGGAGAGUGAGGAGGACGACGAGGGCGACAAACAUUCUUUUCACUUCUGAUCCUAAAUCAAGACCAAACCCCGGGUAGAGGAGCUGAGUGAACGUGGUCUGAACUCUGUGG